UAGGGAAUCUUCCACAAUGGACGAAAGUCUGAUGGAGCAACGCCGCGUGAGUGAUGAAGGGUUUCGGCUCGUAAAACUCUGUUGUUGGAGAAGAACGGGUGUCAGAGUAACUGUUGACAUCGUGACGGUAUCCAACCAGAAAGCCACGGCUAACUACGUGCCAGCAGCCGCGGUAAUACGUAGGUGGCAAGCGUUGUCCGGAUUUAUUGGGCGUAAAGCGAGCGCAGGCGGUUUUUUAGGUCUGAUGUGAAAGCCUUCGGCUUAACCGGAGAAGUGCAUCGGAAACCGGGAGACUUGAGUACAGAAGAGGACAGUGGAACUCCAUGUGUAGCGGUGAAAUGCGUAGAUAUAUGGAAGAACACCAGUGGCGAAGGCGGCUGUCUGGUCUGCAACUGACGCUGAGGCUCGAAAGCAUGGGUAGCGAACAGGAUUAGAUACCCUGGUAGUCCAUGCCGUAAACGAUGAGUGCUAAGUGUUGGAGGGUUUCCGCCCUUCAGUGCUGCAGCUAACGCAUUAAGCACUCCGCCUGGGGGAGUACGACCGCAAGGUUGAAAC
RNAcentral lists this ribosomal RNA (555 nucleotides) under uncultured bacterium. Its description in RNAcentral is "partial 16S ribosomal RNA". It matches the Rfam family "Bacterial small subunit ribosomal RNA", at positions 355 to 900 of the family's 1533-position model. The record is from RNAcentral.